Clunio marinus is the source of this 65-nucleotide non-coding RNA. Lineage: Eukaryota; Metazoa; Arthropoda; Insecta; Diptera; Chironomidae. The record is from the annotation of a GenBank genome assembly.
AAGAAUAUAAUUUAAAAAAAAUAUUUGUUUUGCAUUCAAAAAUUAUUGAAAUUCAAUUUUUCUUA